Molecule: ribosomal RNA, 459 nt
Filed under: uncultured bacterium
Lineage: Bacteria
Description: partial 16S ribosomal RNA
Rfam family: Bacterial small subunit ribosomal RNA
Source: RNAcentral
CCUACGGGUGGCAGCAGUGAGGAAUAUUGGUCAAUGGCCGGAAGUCUGAACCAGCCAAGCCGCGUGAAGGACGAAGGUGCCAAGCAUUGUAAACUUCUUUUGUCAAGGGACAAAAUCAGGCUCGAGAGCCUGACCGAGGGUACUUGAAGAAAAAGCAUCGGCUAACUCCGUGCCAGCAGCCGCGGUAAUACGGAGGAUGCGAGCGUUAUCCGGAUUUAUUGGGUUGAAAGGGUGCGAAGGCGGACUGUUAAGUCAGCGGUAAAAGCCCGGGGCUCAACCCCGGCGAGCCGUUGAAACUGGCUGUCUUGAGAUGUCGAGAGGUAUGCGGAAUGCGCAGUGUAGCGGUGAAAUGCUUAGAUAUUGCGAAGAACUCCGAUUGCGAAGGCAGCAUACCGGCGGCAAUCUGACGCUGAGGCACGAAAGCGUGGGUAUCGAACAGGAUUAGAUACCCCAGUAGUC